Molecule: ribosomal RNA, 490 nt
Filed under: uncultured bacterium
Lineage: Bacteria
Description: partial 16S ribosomal RNA
Rfam family: Bacterial small subunit ribosomal RNA
Source: RNAcentral
AUUGAACGCUGGCGGCAGGCCUAACACAUGCAAGUCGAACGGUAACAGGAAGCAGCCUGCUGCUUUGCUGACGAGUGGCGGACGGGUGAGUAAUGUCUGGGAAACUGCCCGAUGGAGGGGGAUAACUACUGGAAACGGUAGCUAAUACCGCAUAACGUCGCAAGACCAAAGAGGGGGACCUUAGGGCCUCUUGCCAUCGGAUGUGCCCCGAUGGGAUUAGCUAGUAGGUGGGGUAACGGCUCACCUAGGCGACGCUCCCUAGCUGGUCUGAGAGGAUGACCAGCCACACUGGAACUGAGACACGGUCCAGACUCCUACGGGAGGCAGCAGUGGGGAAUAUUGCACAAUGGGCGCAAGCCUGAUGCAGCCAUGCCGCGUGUAUGAAGAAGGCCUUCGGGUUGUAAAGUACUUUCAGCGGGGAGGAAGGGAGUAAAGUUAAUACCUUUGCUCAUUGACGUUACCCGCAGAAGAAGCACCGGCUAACUCCGUG